GUAACAAGGUUUCCGUAGGUGAACCUGCGGAAGGAUCAUUAAAGAGUAAGGGUGCUCAGCGCCCGACCUCCAACCCUUUGUUGUUAAAACUACCUUGUUGCUUUGGCGGGACCGCUCGGUCUCGAGCCGCUGGGGAUUCGUCCCAGGCGAGCGCCCGCCAGAGUUAAACCAAACUCUUGUUAUUUAACCGGUCGUCUGAGUUAAAAUUUUGAAUAAAUCAAAACUUUCAACAACGGAUCUCUUGGUUCUCGCAUCGAUGAAGAACGCAGCGAAAUGCGAUAAGUAAUGUGAAUUGCAGAAUUCAGUGAAUCAUCGAAUCUUUGAACGCACAUUGCGCCCCUUGGUAUUCCGAGGGGCAUGCCUGUUCGAGCGUCAUUACACCACUCAAGCUAUGCUUGGUAUUGGGCGUCGUCCUUAGUUGGGCGCGCCUUAAAGACCUCGGCGAGGCCACUCCGGCUUUAGGCGUAGUAGAAUUUAUUCGAACGUCUGUCAAAGGAGAGGAACUCUGCCGACUGAAACCUUUAUUUUUCUAGGUUGACCUCGGAUCAGGUAGGGAUACCCGCUGAACUUAAGCAUAUCA
RNAcentral lists this unclassified non-coding RNA (580 nucleotides) under Aureobasidium pullulans. RNAcentral describes it as "sequence contains 18S rRNA gene, ITS1, 5.8S rRNA gene, ITS2, 28S rRNA gene". The stretch from base 222 to 375 matches the Rfam family "5.8S ribosomal RNA". Lineage: Eukaryota; Fungi; Ascomycota; Dothideomycetes; Dothideales; Saccotheciaceae. The record is from RNAcentral.